GUUUUGAGGUGUGUGUGUGUGUAUACAUAUGUAUACAUAUAUGUAUACACACACACACACACACACACACACACACAUCAUAAAGAAAU
RNAcentral lists this microRNA precursor (89 nucleotides) under Tupaia belangeri (northern tree shrew). Its description in RNAcentral is "miRNA (ENSTBEG00000019936.1)". Lineage: Eukaryota; Metazoa; Chordata; Mammalia; Scandentia; Tupaiidae. The record is from RNAcentral.